RNAcentral lists this long non-coding RNA (1175 nucleotides) under Anas platyrhynchos platyrhynchos (common mallard). Its description in RNAcentral is "lncRNA (ENSAPLG00000026490.1)". The record is from RNAcentral. Lineage: Eukaryota; Metazoa; Chordata; Aves; Anseriformes; Anatidae.
AGGCGGCUCCUGAGCUGCUCCUCCUGCCGUGAGACCCUGGGGCGGACGGACAGACGGACGGACACAGACAGACAGAUGGACACGGAUGGACGGACAGACGGACGUCAGCCCCGCGCCCCCCACCCAGGAGGAGCUCAGGGUGUCAGGGGGCUCCCGGGGGCUCCAGGGUUGGCCGUGAUGGACCCCAGCCCACCCCAGCUCAGGCUCCCAGUUCAUCCCAGUUCAUCCCAGUCUACUCCAUCCCAGGCUCCCAGUUCAUCCCAGUCCAUCCUCCCUGGCCAUCCCAGUGCACCCCAGCCCGGGCUCCCCAUCCACCCCAGCCCAGGCUCCCAGUCCAUCCCGGUCCAUCCCAGUCCACCCAGCCCAGGCUCCCAGUUCAUCCCAGCCUGGGCUCGCCACCCAUCCCAGUCCAUCCCAGCCUGGGCUCCCCGCCCAUCCCAGUUCAUCCCAGUCCACCCCAGUCCAGGCUCCCAGUCCAUCCCAGCCCAGGCUCCCCAUCCAUCCCAGUCUACCCCAUCCCAGUCCACCCCAGUCCAUCCCAGUCCAUGCUCCCAGUCCAUCCCAUCCCAGGCUCCCAGUUCAUCCCAGUCCACCCCAGCCCAGGCUCCCUAUCUACCCCAGCCCAGGCUCCCUGUCCACCCCAGUCCAUCCCAGUCUACCCCAGCCCAGGCUCCCAGUCCAUCCCAGUCUGACCCAGCCCAGGCUCCCAGUUCAUCCCAGUCCACCCCAGUCCAUGCUCCCAGUCCAUCCCAGCCCAGGCUCCCCAUCCACCCCAGUCCAUCCCAGUCCGUCCCAGUCCACCCCAGCCCUGGCUACCCACGAUCCAGUCUGUGCGCACAGCAUCCUGCAGAUGGCCGGGCUGCAGCGCUGGGGGCUGUGGGCGCCCUCCUGCAGGACGAGGCGAUGCUGGGGGGCUGCCAGGAGCCCCCUGGCACCCCCCCCACCCCGACAGCUCCUACCAGUACCGGCUGUGGGUUGGACUGGGGGUCACUGGGGGUGCGCAGGCGGAGGAAGGAGAGCCCGAACUGCCCCUGCCUGCUGAAGGGCUGGCUGCAGGUGAGCCGCACCCGGUCCCAUUUCUGCCCCACCGCCGGCUCCAGGAAAUCCGCUGCAAAUUGGGGGGGGACACCAGGAGGGGGCUUCAGGGGUGGCCCCAAACCCCUCCACCCCAUAUG